GGAAGCGGUGAAUAACGGCUUAUUCUGAAAUAAAGUUUGACAGAUUUAUUCAGGGCACCUGCAGUCGAUAAGUGAUACAUAUACACGUACUUUGCAUUAAUAGCUGCAAAAUUUGGGGGCUGGGGGGAAGGUGGGGAGCCAGUAUAAACUGUUUGGAAGAUCUGAAAGGGAAGCCUGAACUGAAAACAAGCCAAAGGUUCAGAGUUCUCAGGGCUAUGUUUGAUGGGGUCCAAACCUUUCCGGCGCUCUGAAGGAGGCUGGUAAGUCUGUGGGUGGCGAUGAUUUAUAUUGCCGGCACUUCCCCAAAAGCUUCCAGCCGCCCCACAACCCCAAUCUCCACCGGCUCCUCUGCGAACCUACGUGUAAAGAAUCUUUGGCCUCAGAUGGAGAAAACGGAGCCCAGAGAAGCAAAAUUUGUUACCCAAGAUGACGAAGCUAGUUCCCGAAAGAGGCGGGGCUGCCACCGAGACAGAAGAGGAGAUAGCCCCGCUGGGCAGAGGACUCUAUCAAAGGCCAGUAAAUUCCUCCAGGAAACCGAUCCGCCGUCAUGAGACUUCAAGCAAACCACAGAAUUUCCAGUGACAGCCCUCUUCCACCUUGAGAGAGGGCAGGCCAUUCUGCGGACCCCACCAAAGGGACUGUAGCAAGGCACGAGCACCCACCUGUUCACAGAUCAGGGCUCGGGACUAUGCGCCUGAGCCCAGGUUCCGGCCGGGCAGACACCACCCCAAGUAUCUGGAUAAAAGUCUGCAUCUGGAUGCCUGAAUUUCUCCCCUGACACACGUGCAUAGGCUCAGCAGUAAAGUUUUGGGAAAUAGCUUGAUAGGAAACUUCCAACUUCAGUCCUUAAGCUUCAAAGGUAAUCUGGACAUUUAAAGAGCGCCUUAUGAUUAAGUUUUC
Equus caballus (horse) is the source of this 900-nucleotide non-coding RNA. Lineage: Eukaryota; Metazoa; Chordata; Mammalia; Perissodactyla; Equidae. The record is from RefSeq and is a predicted model, not a curated record.